CAUGUAGGCGGAUUGAUAAGUUUGAAGUGAAAUCCUAUAGCUUAACUAUAGAACUGCUUUGAAAACUGUUAAUCUAGAAUGUGGGAGAGGUAGAUGGAAUUUCUGGUGUAGGGGUAAAAUCCGUAGAGAUCAGAAGGAAUACCGAUUGCGAAGGCGAUCUACUGGAACAUUAUUGACGCUGAGAUGCGAAAGCGUGGGGAGCAAACA
Molecule: ribosomal RNA, 207 nt
Filed under: uncultured bacterium
Lineage: Bacteria
Also listed under: 1 other name
Description: partial 16S ribosomal RNA
Rfam family: Bacterial small subunit ribosomal RNA
Source: RNAcentral